CAUGCAAGUCGAGCGGAUGAGAGGAGCUUGCUCCUUGAUUUAGCGGCGGACGGGUGAGUAAUGCCUAGGAAUCUGCCUGGUAGUGGGGGAUAACGUCCGGAAACGGGCGCUAAUACCGCAUACGUCCUACGGGAGAAAGCAGGGGACCUUCGGGCCUUGCGCUAUCAGAUGAGCCUAGGUCGGAUUAGCUAGUUGGUGAGGUAAUGGCUCACCAAGGCGACGAUCCGUAACUGGUCUGAGAGGAUGAUCAGUCACACUGGAACUGAGACACGGUCCAGACUCCUACGGGAGGCAGCAGUGGGGAAUAUUGGACAAUGGGCGAAAGCCUGAUCCAGCCAUGCCGCGUGUGUGAAGAAGGUCUUCGGAUUGUAAAGCACUUUAAGUUGGGAGGAAGGGCAUUAACCUAAUACGUUAGUGUUUUGACGUUACCGACAGAAUAAGCACCGGCUAACUUCGUGCCAGCAGCCGCGGUAAUACGAAGGGUCCUUAUUGGGUCGGUAACAAGGUAGCCGUAGGGGAACCUGCGGCUGGAUCACCA
RNAcentral lists this ribosomal RNA (538 nucleotides) under uncultured bacterium. RNAcentral describes it as "bacterial SSU rRNA". It matches the Rfam family "Bacterial small subunit ribosomal RNA". The record is from RNAcentral.